RNAcentral lists this ribosomal RNA (403 nucleotides) under Verrucomicrobiota bacterium. RNAcentral describes it as "Verrucomicrobia bacterium partial 16S ribosomal RNA". It matches the Rfam family "Bacterial small subunit ribosomal RNA", at positions 355 to 776 of the family's 1533-position model. The record is from RNAcentral. Lineage: Bacteria; Pseudomonadati; Verrucomicrobiota.
UGGGGAAUAUUGCACAAUGGGCGCAAGCCUGAUGCAGCAACGCCGCGUGAAUGAUGAAGGUCUUCGGAUCGUAAAGUUCUGUUGCAGGGGAAGAUAAUGACGGUACCCUGUGAGGAAGCCCCGGCUAACUACGUGCCAGCAGCCGCGGUAAUACGUAGGGGGCUAGCGUUAUCCGGAUUUACUGGGCGUAAAGGGUGCGUAGGUGGUCUUUCAAGUCGGUGGUUAAAGGCUACGGCUCAACCGUAGUUAGCCUCCGAAACUGGAAGACUUGAGUGCAGGAGAGGAAAGUGGAAUUCCCAGUGUAGAGGUGAAAUGCGUAGAUAUUGGGAGGAACACCAGUGGCGAAGGCGGCUUUCUGGACUGCUACUGACACUGAGGCACGAAAGCGUGGGUAGCAAACAGG